RNAcentral lists this ribosomal RNA (492 nucleotides) under uncultured bacterium. Its description in RNAcentral is "partial 16S ribosomal RNA". It matches the Rfam family "Bacterial small subunit ribosomal RNA", at positions 30 to 506 of the family's 1533-position model. The record is from RNAcentral.
AGUGAACGCUGGCGGUAGGCCUAACACAUGCAAGUCGAACGGCAGCACAGUAAGAGCUUGCUCUUACGGGUGGCGAGUGGCGGACGGGUGAGGAAUACAUCGGAAUCUACUUUUUCGUGGGGGAUAACGUAGGGAAACUUACGCUAAUACCGCAUACGACCUACGGGUGAAAGCAGGGGAUCUUCGGACCUUGCGCGAUUGAAUGAGCCGAUGUCGGAUUAGCUAGUUGGCGGGGUAAAGGCCCACCAAGGCGACGAUCCGUAGCUGGUCUGAGAGGAUGGCAGCCCCCCAGGGAAAUGGAGCCACGGCCCAGCCCCCUAGGGGAGGCGGAGGGGGGGAAAUUUGGAAAUGGGGGGCAAGCCUGCACAAGCCGACCCGGGGGGGUGAAGAAGGCCUUCGGGUUGGAAAGCCGUUUUUUGGGAAAAAAAAGCAGGCGGGUUAAACCCCCCCUGUUUGACGGGAACCAAAAAAAAAGCCCCGGGCUAAUUUGGG